UCUAUGGGCUGCCAUUGACUUUUGGGUGGAAGAACGAGGAAGAUAAAUAAUAAUAAUAAUAAGAAAACUAACAGAAACAAUAGGUGUCUACGCCACUUCGUGGCUUGACCCCUUAUAUGGAAAAGAGAUGAGUGUUGAAGAUUUCAUACGGUAUAUUGUAAUAGCAACUUAUUUAGCAACUAACAUCCUAUAAUGCUCUGUGGCAUGUUUUAAUAAGGUAAUAUAUUUUGGAAAAGAGAGGUUUCAUCCCCUGAGUUUCAGAGACUUGGAGAAUCUAUGCCAAGGCUCAUUUAGGUGUUUCAAUACUUAUGCUGUGUUUCCUUUUAGUUGUUGCAUGUCUUUCACGUCCUGUACCUUUAUUAGUCUUACAAGAAAUAUUCACUUCAACACACAGAGAGCAGCUGUGGAGACGAAACGUUUAUGCCCUAGAAGAGACCCUUCACAGACCUCUAAAAGGAUCUUUGUUGGCUGGGGCAAGCCGAGGGGGAGGCAAGGAGGGUGACGCCAAGCCUCAGCUACAGGUCACUUUUACAGGUUGAGUGCUUCCUGUCAUCCAGUGUGGAGAUUCCACCUAACUGUACCCUCAGCAAAACUAAAUCCUCAUGAGGAAUUUGGUGCAGAGAGUGGUUCUGUCGGGACCGUGAUGUAUUACGUCACAAAAAACAGCCACUCCACAAUAGGGAAUGUGUAAUUAAUAGGUUUUUUGAAGCCAUCUGUCCAACCAAAUGCAUCAUUAAAGGGGAAGAUGGAU
This is a non-coding RNA of Misgurnus anguillicaudatus (oriental weatherfish), 751 nucleotides long. The record is from RefSeq and is a predicted model, not a curated record. NCBI's taxonomy places the organism in Eukaryota, Metazoa, Chordata, Actinopteri, Cypriniformes, Cobitidae.